UGUGGAAUAUUGGACAAUGGGCGCAAGCCUGAUCCAGCCAUGCCGCGUGAGUGAUGAAGGCCCUAGGGUUGUAAAGCUCUUUCACCGGUGAAGAUAAUGACGGUAACCGGAGAAGAAGCCCCGGCUAACUUCGUGCCAGCAGCCGCGGUAAUACGAAGGGGGCUAGCGUUGUUCGGAUUUACUGGGCGUAAAGCGCACGUAGGCGGACUUUUAAGUCAGGGGUGAAAUCCCGGGGCUCAACCCCGGAACUGCCUUUGAUACUGGAAGUCUUGAGUAUGGUAGAGGUGAGUGGAAUUCCGAGUGUAGAGGUGAAAUUCGUAGAUAUUCGGAGGAACACCAGUGGCGAAGGCGGCUCACUGGACCAUUACUGACGCUGAGGUGCGAAAGCGUGGGGAGCAAACAGG
Molecule: ribosomal RNA, 404 nt
Filed under: Actinomycetes bacterium
Lineage: Bacteria; Bacillati; Actinomycetota; Actinomycetes
Description: Actinobacteria bacterium partial 16S ribosomal RNA
Rfam family: Bacterial small subunit ribosomal RNA
Source: RNAcentral